UAACUCACCCUCUUUUGGGUUUAUCUCACCCUCUUCUAGAUUUAUCUCACCUUCUUCAGGGUUUAUCUCACCCUCUUCUCUGUUUAUGUCACCCUCUUCUCUGUUUAUCUCACCCUCUUCUCUGUUUAUGUCACCCUCUUCUCUGUUUAUCUCACCCUCUUCUCUGUUUAUGUCACCCUCUUCUCUGUUUAUCUCACCCUCUUCUCUGUUUAUGUCACCCUCUUCUCUGUUUAUCUCACCCUCUUCUCUGUUUAUGUCACCCUCUUCCCUGUUUAUCUCACCCUCUUCUAGGUUUAACUAACACUCCUCUGGGUUUAUCUCACCUUCUUCGAGACAUUGGGUUUCCUGGAUUUGGAGUGUGUACAGUAUGUGCUCUGGGCUCUCUGAAGCUCUUCUGGGUUUAUCUCACCCUCUUCUCUGUUUAUCUCACCCUCUUCUGGGUCUAUCUCACCCUCUUCUGGGUUUAUCUCACCCUCUUCUCUGUUUAUCUCACCCUCUUCUGGGUCUAUCUCACCCUCUUCUGGGUUUAUCUCACCCUCUUCUCUGUUUAUCUCACCCUCUUCUCUGUUUAUCUCACCCUCUUCUGGGCUAAAAACAGCACUAAACGUGUGGUUUUAACACAGCACAACUAAACAGCCUUCAAGUUGUCAUUACCGGAAACGUUUAGUUGCGGUUAUUGCUGCACAAGAGGGACACCAUCUCUGAAAGCAAAGUUUCAGAGCAGAAUUCAUGUUUCCUUCAAUUACUGCAAGUUGCCCAGACCCUGAAGCAGUAAAGCAUCCCCACACCAUCACACUUCCUCCACCAUGCUUGACCGUAGGUAUGAUGUUCUUUUUGUGGAAUUCAGUGUUUGGUUUACUCCAGAUGUAACGGGACCCCUGUCUUCCAAACAGUGCCACUUUCAACUCAUCAGUCUAUAGAACAUUCUCCCAAAAGGUUUGAGGAGCAUCAAGGUGUGUUUUGGUAAAAUUCAGAUGAGUCUUAAUGUUCUCCUGGGUUAGCAGUGGUUUUCACCUCGCCACUCUUCCAUGGAUGCCAUUUUUGCCCAGUG
Ictalurus furcatus (blue catfish) is the source of this 1051-nucleotide long non-coding RNA. RefSeq lists it as uncharacterized. NCBI's taxonomy places the organism in Eukaryota, Metazoa, Chordata, Actinopteri, Siluriformes, Ictaluridae. The record is from RefSeq and is a predicted model, not a curated record. The transcript is spliced from 3 exons.